RNAcentral lists this ribosomal RNA (588 nucleotides) under uncultured marine eukaryote. Its description in RNAcentral is "SSU rRNA". It matches the Rfam family "Eukaryotic small subunit ribosomal RNA", at positions 619 to 1205 of the family's 1831-position model. The record is from RNAcentral.
UUAAAAAGCUCGUAGUUGGAUCUCGGCGGGCAGGGGGUGGUUCGCUCUUCAGCGCUACUGCCCCGCUUUGCCCGUGUGAUUGGCGGAGGUUUCGGGGUGCUCUUCGUUGAGUGACUCGGAGCGCCGUCAGGUUUACUUUGAAAAAAUUAGAGUGCUCAAAGCAGGCUUUUCACGCUUGAAUAUUCGUGCAUGGAAUAAUGGAAUAGGAACUCGUUUCUAUUUUGUUGGUUUUCGGAAAUCGAGUUAAUGAUUAACAGGGACAAUUGGGGGCAUUAGUAUUCAGACGACAGAGGUGAAAUUCUUGGACCGUCUGAAGACUGACUACUGCGAAAGCAUUUGCCAAGAGUGUUUUCAUUAAUCAAGAACGAAAGUUAGAGGUUCGAAGGCGAUCAGAUACCGCCCUAGUUCUAACCAUAAACGAUGCCAGCUAGCGAUCUGCCGAGUUUUUUUUGUAGGCUCCGCAGGAAGCUUUCGGGAAACCAAAGCUUUUGGGUUCCGGGGGAAUGUAUGGUUGCAAAGCUGAAACUUAAAGGAAUUGAUGGAAGGGCACCACCAGGAGUGGAGCCUGCGGCUUAAUUUGACUCAACA